CCAUCGGUGGUUCAGUGGUAGAAUGCUUGACUGCCACGCGGGCGACCUGGGUUCGAUUCCUGGCCGAUGCA
RNAcentral lists this transfer RNA (71 nucleotides) under Cordylochernes scorpioides. RNAcentral's name for it is "tRNA-Gly". It matches the Rfam family "tRNA". From Rfam's summary of the family: Transfer RNA (tRNA) molecules are approximately 80 nucleotides in length. The record is from RNAcentral. Lineage: Eukaryota; Metazoa; Arthropoda; Arachnida; Pseudoscorpiones; Chernetidae.